CUGCAGCUUAUUAAGCCGACCAGUCUGGUUGCAGUCUAGAGCUGGUGUGCAAUGGCUGCAGACAGUGACUUCUCUGGUUGUGUAUGUGCUCAGCUGUGCAGUACUGGGUGCUCUAAGGGACCUCUGAGACACUC
Small nucleolar RNA from Lepisosteus oculatus (spotted gar), 134 nucleotides. Its record names the gene SNORA70. It matches the Rfam family "Small nucleolar RNA SNORA70". From Rfam's summary of the family: snoRNA U70 seems to be exclusive to mammals and is a member of the H/ACA class of snoRNA which contain H (ANANNA) and ACA box motifs. H/ACA box snoRNAs are involved in the conversion of uridines to pseudouridines (5-ribosyluracil) a constituent of structural RNAs (transfer, ribosomal, small nuclear, and small nucleolar). Lineage: Eukaryota; Metazoa; Chordata; Actinopteri; Semionotiformes; Lepisosteidae. The record is from Ensembl.